UACGGGGGGUGCAAGCGUUAAUCGGAAUUACUGGGCGUAAAGCGCACGCAGGCGGUCUGUCAAGUCGGAUGUGAAAUCCCCGGGCUCAACCUGGGAACUGCAUUCGAAACUGGCAGGCUAGAGUCUUGUAGAGGAGAGUAGAAUUCCAGGUGUAGCGGUGAAAUGCGUAGAGAUCUGGAGGAAUACCGGUGGCGAAGGCGGCCCCCUGGACAAAGACUGACGCUCAGGUGCGAAAGCGUGGGGAGCAAACAGG
Molecule: ribosomal RNA, 253 nt
Filed under: uncultured bacterium
Lineage: Bacteria
Description: partial 16S ribosomal RNA
Rfam family: Bacterial small subunit ribosomal RNA
Source: RNAcentral